AAGACUAUAGACCUGCGGAGUACCUGCGGAAGGAUCAUUAACAACAAAUCUUGUGUGUGUGUGUGGGUGUGUGUGUGUGUGUGGUAUGUGUUUUAGGUGUGUAUUUACUUUUACUUACUGUGCCUAUAACUGGCCCCACAUAUAUACAUACAUACAUAUAUAUAUGCGCUCCAGCGGUUGUCUGGAUGCACAAUGUACGCUUUUAUUGUCUUGUUGUUAUUUUUGUGGGUUUAAAAUGUU
RNAcentral lists this unclassified non-coding RNA (240 nucleotides) under soil metagenome. Its description in RNAcentral is "partial contains 5.8S ribosomal RNA, internal transcribed spacer 2, and large subunit ribosomal RNA". The record is from RNAcentral.